GGGGGUGACCUGGUUUCGACAGGGAAUCAGAGUGCGAGUGACGCAUGCCGGAGAUGCUAUCCACUCCGUUAACAAGUAGCGACCAAACUUAAUUGCAAACACAAAUCUCUCCUUAGCAGCAUAGGCUGCUAACGUUCAACCUCUUCGUGCCGUCGGGAGGGGAUUGGGCGUCGAAACAGUGCGGCCGCCACGGGGAGGAGCUGUCCAUAAUCCUCGUUUAAGACCAUGGACUGGAUCCUUGCGGGUCUGAUUGUCUUUUACCGCAACGAUCGAGAUUAAAGACAACUAAGCAUGUAGGCUUGCUUGCAAUCGGCUCUUUGGACGCGGGUUCGAUUCCCGCCACCUCCACCA
RNAcentral lists this transfer-messenger RNA (351 nucleotides) under Cloacimonadaceae bacterium (SeqCode). It matches the Rfam family "transfer-messenger RNA". Rfam says of the family: Bacterial tmRNA, also known as 10Sa RNA or SsrA, is named for its dual tRNA and mRNA-like properties. Its role is to liberate the mRNA from a stalled ribosome. Lineage: Bacteria; Pseudomonadati; Candidatus Cloacimonadota; Cloacimonadia (SeqCode); Cloacimonadales (SeqCode); Cloacimonadaceae (SeqCode). The record is from RNAcentral.